Long non-coding RNA from Falco peregrinus (peregrine falcon), 421 nucleotides. RefSeq lists it as uncharacterized. The record is from RefSeq and is a predicted model, not a curated record. The transcript is spliced from 2 exons. NCBI's taxonomy places the organism in Eukaryota, Metazoa, Chordata, Aves, Falconiformes, Falconidae.
AAAAAAAAUAUGCUAAUAAUUACUGAACUUGAAUUAAGCUGAAUCAUUAUGGGUACUUAUAAAUGAGUAUACUUUUCAAGCUGAGACAAAACAAGCAGAAAACCUACAAACAGCGAAGCUGUCAGGACUCAUUUAAUGGCUUGCUGAAGAUGAUGUAUUCUCCCAUUAAGUGACACUGUUGCUCCCCAUCAUAUAGAGAAUCUUAGAACACAGUUGACAGAGAUGAGCAAUCCCUUCCAUCAAGCUCUUCAAUGAAAACACUUACACAGCAACAAUAGAUUCCGCUUCUUCUAAAACAAUAAAAAAGCCUGAAACAUCUUUAAUGUACUUGGAAACAACAUGGCUUUAAUUUGUAUAUUUAAUUUAUGUAACUGUUAAAAGUGCCUGGAAGUCAAGAUUAAAUGUUUUGGCAAAAACUUAA